Molecule: ribosomal RNA, 450 nt
Filed under: Escherichia coli
Lineage: Bacteria; Pseudomonadati; Pseudomonadota; Gammaproteobacteria; Enterobacterales; Enterobacteriaceae
Description: bacterial SSU rRNA
Rfam family: Bacterial small subunit ribosomal RNA
Source: RNAcentral
GCUGUCGUCAGCUCGUGUUGUGAAAUGUUGGGUUAAGUCCCGCAACGAGCGCAACCCUUAUCCUUUGUUGCCAGCGGUCCGGCCGGGAACUCAAAGGAGACUGCCAGUGAUAAACUGGAGGAAGGUGGGGAUGACGUCAAGUCAUCAUGGCCCUUACGACCAGGGCUACACACGUGCUACAAUGGCGCAUACAAAGAGAAGCGACCUCGCGAGAGCAAGCGGACCUCAUAAAGUGCGUCGUAGUCCGGAUUGGAGUCUGCAACUCGACUCCAUGAAGUCGGAAUCGCUAGUAAUCGUGGAUCAGAAUGCCACGGUGAAUACGUUCCCGGGCCUUGUACACACCGCCCGUCACACCAUGGGAGUGGGUUGCAAAAGAAGUAGGUAGCUUAACCUUCGGGAGGGCGCUUACCACUUUGUGAUUCAUGACUGGGGUGAAGUCGUAACAAGGUA